AAGGGCACCACAAGAACGCGUGGAGCAUGUGGCUUAAUUUGACUCAAUGCGGGAAAUCUUACCGGGUCCGGACACACUGAGGAUUGACAGGCAAUAUUAUAAAUUAUAUAUUUUUCUCACUUCGGUGUUUCUUAUAUACUCAAUUUAUAUGUUAAAUAUGCUAGUCCUUUCAUGAUUAUGUGAUAGGUGGUGCAUGGCCGUUCUUAGUUCGUGGAGUGAUCUGUCUGCUUAAUUGCGUUUCACUAUUGGGCUUAUAUAAUUACGUAUGUUGUUAACACUUUGACCCCUUUCUACGGAUUGUGCGUGUCUUUGUCUGUCUAACUCGUACAAUUAAGCCCUGAAAGCAACGAACGUGACCGCAACCUCUUGUUGCUCUCAUUACCCAAUACGUAUUUAUAUCAUUGGCCUCACGGUUAAUAUAUUUUUACUGAAGAGAGCUUUCUAAACUAGAGGGACCGCUGUUACUUUCUUAAACCAGAGGAAGGUUGCGGCAAUAACAGGUCUGUGAUGCCCUUAGAUGUUCCGGGCUGCACACGUGCUACAAUGAUUAUUGCAGUGAGCAUCUCAUUUUUUACACAUCGCAUGCGCGAGUCCAUUUAUUCAUUACCUAUUUUGUGUAGUGCUUUAAAUGUGUACCUCUGCGCGCGAUAAAGCCUGCUUCGAAAGUAAGUGGGUAAUCAAUUAGAAGUAAUGAUUUCCUAUUUUUUAUAUUCUGCACACAUAUAUACGGCAUGUAUACCCGGGUAACCUUGUUGUUACUUUUGUGCGUAUAUGUGAUAUCUUGUAUUCUUACAUACAGAUAUAUUACCGUAUGUGCAAUUGUCAAUUCAUGGUGGGGACAGACCAUUGUUAAUUGUUGGUCUCGGUCUUAACUAGGAAUGCCUUGUACGGAUCUUUGGUUCAACAAACCAUCCGGAAUACGUCCCUGCCCUUUGUACACACCGCCCGUCGCUCUUACCGAUGGACUUCUCUGUGAGUUUGAGGGACUGGUAUAUGAAUGAGUUCGCUCGUUCCCCACUAUAGAAACUUAAACGAACAGUGGGGCCUAAAGGAAAGAGAAGUCGAACAAGGCA
RNAcentral lists this ribosomal RNA (1073 nucleotides) under Ehrenbergina glabra. RNAcentral describes it as "SSU rRNA". It matches the Rfam family "Eukaryotic small subunit ribosomal RNA", at positions 1160 to 1801 of the family's 1831-position model. Lineage: Eukaryota; Foraminifera; Rotaliida; Cassidulinidae. The record is from RNAcentral.